AUACUUUCCCAACCCGGGCUCCCGGACCUUGAAGUUGGAGAAGGCACCUCUGCUGCCAAUGUUUCAACACUGUGACUAGCAUCUCCGACCCAGAGGCUAGCACAGAUAAG
This is a long non-coding RNA of Dermochelys coriacea (leatherback sea turtle), 110 nucleotides long. RefSeq lists it as uncharacterized. The transcript is spliced from 2 exons. The record is from RefSeq and is a predicted model, not a curated record. NCBI's taxonomy places the organism in Eukaryota, Metazoa, Chordata, Testudines, Dermochelyidae.